This 776-nucleotide ribosomal RNA is filed under the name uncultured Neocallimastigales. Its description in RNAcentral is "partial large subunit ribosomal RNA". It matches the Rfam family "Eukaryotic large subunit ribosomal RNA", at positions 23 to 647 of the family's 3401-position model. Lineage: Eukaryota; Fungi; Neocallimastigomycota; Neocallimastigomycetes; Neocallimastigales. The record is from RNAcentral.
AGACUCUGUGCGCGUGCAUAUCAAUAAGCGGAGGAAAAGAAACUAACAAGGAUUCCCCUUAGUAGCGGCGAGUGAAGCGGGAAGAGCUCAAAUUUGAAAUCUUCAAGGUUCUGACCUUGACGAAUUGUAGUUUAUAAGAAGUGUUUUCUGUUAGUAGAGUGGCAAAAGUUCUUUGGAAUAGGACAUCAUAGAGGGUGAGAAUCCCGUAUUUGGUCAUUCUUUCUAGCUUUGUGAUACACUUUCAACGAGUCGGAUUGUUUGGGAAUGCAGUCCAAAAUGGGUGGUAAAUUUCAUCUAAAGCUAAAUAUUGGCGAGAGACCGAUAGCGAACAAGUACCGUGAGGGAAAGAUGAAAAGAACUUUGAAAAGAGAGUUAAACAGUACGUGAAAUUGUCAAAAGGGAAGCGUUUGACACCAGUGUUGUUUUUCCGAAAAUCAAUUACGAAUGUUUUAUUUUUGAGGAGUUAUGACUACAUCGGCUUGCUCCUUUCUUUAUGGAACUUUCUUAAUGCACUUUUCGGUUAACAAGUCAACAUCAAUUUCUUUUGUUGUAAAAGAGUAUGAGGAAGGUGGCUUUCUUUUCGGAGAAAGUGUUUAUAGCCUUGUACUUCUGCAAUCGGAGAGAUUGAGGUCUGCAGCGUAGAUCCUUCGGGGUUAGAUACACUUGUGCUAAGUUAUAGCUUUUCAUAGACAACUUGUUGAUUAUGUUAAGUCUUGUAGCUUACUCGCUUGUGCUAUUUUACCUACGCUUAGGAUGUUGAUCUGUAGUGCGUGCGC